Molecule: long non-coding RNA, 426 nt
Filed under: Olea europaea (common olive)
Lineage: Eukaryota; Viridiplantae; Streptophyta; Magnoliopsida; Lamiales; Oleaceae
Description: long non-coding RNA (OEUR_LNC014032)
Source: RNAcentral
GUGAAAGUACUGUCAAAAGUGAAAACCAUCUCUAUCCGCAGAAGACAACGACAGACGCCCAUUAAAGGCAGAUGAUUCCUUGAAUCUUGCAUAGGGGAGCACUUUAUGCCCUUUUCAAUUGUUGUCCACUUCGGAUAAGUCUAGUACUGAAUUCCAGAAAAUGCAAAAAGUAUUAAUAGUAAUUAACAAUAAUAAAUAUUUGAUUUGUCUAACAGACAUGAUUACGAUCAUAAAAAAUAUAUGCAAGCGCAGCAAACAAUCGGAAAGAUCUUAAUUUUUAUCAUUAACAGUGUAAAAAAGAUGAACAGGGAACAGCAGCAUAUUAAUUCUGCUUUGAAACAUCAAAGGGCUGAGAAUUUCUUCAUAGGUGCUUCUUGUUUUUUAUUUUUAUUUUUUAUUUAUUUUUUUGUACAGAUUUAAAAANNN